GUGCAGAUGCAAGAAAAAAGGGUCCUCGUGCUAUCUGUCUGAUUGUGGCAGCCAAGAUUGAAUGGAGGAAUACAGUG
RNAcentral lists this small nucleolar RNA (77 nucleotides) under Myotis lucifugus (little brown bat). RNAcentral describes it as "Small nucleolar RNA SNORA31 (ENSMLUG00000022119.1)". Lineage: Eukaryota; Metazoa; Chordata; Mammalia; Chiroptera; Vespertilionidae. The record is from RNAcentral.